GAUGAAGAACGCAGCGAAAUGCGAUACGUAAUGUGAAUUGCAGAAUUCAGUGAAUCAUCGAAUCUUUGAACGCAUAUUGCGCUCUCUGGUAUUCCGGAGAGCAUGCUUGUUUGAGUAUCAGUAAACACCUCAACUUCCAUAUCUUUUUUGAAAUGGGAGUUGGACUUGAGUGAUCCCAACGCUUUUCCUCACCGAAAAGUGGCGGGUUACUUGAAAUGCAGGUGCAGCUGGACUUUUCUCUGAGCUUAUAAGCAUAUCUAUUUAGUCUGCCUAAAAAACAGAUUAUUACCUUUGCUGCAGCUAACAUAAAGGAGAUUAGUUCUUGUGCUGACUGAUGCAGGAUUCACAAAGACAGGCUUCGGCCGACUUUGUAAACUCGAUCUCAAAUCAAGUAAGACUACCCGCUGAACUUAAGCAUAUCAAUAAGCGAGGA
This 433-nucleotide unclassified non-coding RNA is filed under the name soil metagenome. RNAcentral describes it as "partial contains 5.8S ribosomal RNA, internal transcribed spacer 2, and large subunit ribosomal RNA". The stretch from base 1 to 120 matches the Rfam family "5.8S ribosomal RNA", at positions 35 to 154 of the family's 154-position model. The record is from RNAcentral.